GACGAACGCUGGCGGCGUGCUUAACACAUGCAAGUCGAACGGAAAGGCCCUGCUUGCAGGGUCCUCGAGUGGCGAACGGGUGAGUAACACGUGGGUGAUCUGCCCUGCACUUCGGGAUAAGCUUGGGAAACUGGGUCUAAUACCGGAUAGGAGCCAUCUUUAGUGUGGUGGUUGGAAAGUUUUUUCGGUGUAGGAUGAGCUCGCGGCCUAUCAGCUUGUUGGUGGGGUAAUGGCCUACCAAGGCGGCGACGGGUAGCCGGCCUGAGAGGGUGUACGGCCACAUUGGGACUGAGAUACGGCCCAGACUCCUACGGGAGGCAGCAGUGGGGAAUAUUGCACAAUGGGCGCAAGCCUGAGGCAGCGACGCCGCGUGGGGGAUGAAGGCCUUCGGGUUGUAAACUCCUUUCGCUAGGGACGAAGCUUUUUUGUGACGGUACCUAGAUAAGAAGCACCGGCUAACUACGUG
Molecule: ribosomal RNA, 466 nt
Filed under: uncultured bacterium
Lineage: Bacteria
Description: partial 16S ribosomal RNA
Rfam family: Bacterial small subunit ribosomal RNA
Source: RNAcentral